Molecule: ribosomal RNA, 468 nt
Filed under: uncultured bacterium
Lineage: Bacteria
Description: partial 16S ribosomal RNA
Rfam family: Bacterial small subunit ribosomal RNA
Source: RNAcentral
GACGAACGCUGGCGGCGUGCUUAACACAUGCAAGUCGAACGGAAAGGCCCUGCUUUUGUGGGGUGCUCGAGUGGCGAACGGGUGAGUAACACGUGAGUAACCUGCCCUUGACUUUGGGAUAACUUCAGGAAACUGGGGCUAAUACCGGAUAGGAGCUCCUGCUGCAUGGUGGGGGUUGGAAAGUUUCGGCGGUUGGGGAUGGACUCGCGGCUUAUCAGCUUGUUGGUGGGGUAGUGGCUUACCAAGGCUUUGACGGGUAGCCGGCCUGAGAGGGUGACCGGCCACAAUGGGACUGAGAUACGGCCCAGACUCCUACGGGAGGCAGCAGUGGGGAAUAUUGCACAAUGGGCGGAAGCCUGAGGCAGCAACGCCGCGUGCGGGAUGACGGCCUUCGGGGUGUAAACCGCUUUCGCCUGUGACGAAGCGUGAGUGACGGUAAUGGGUAAAGAAGCACCGGCUAACUACGUG